AACUAAGUUUGCUAUUGGUAUGAGCUUUCGUGUGCAUGCACACUUCUUCAGAUACACACUUCAGAUAUUUGAAGAAGUCUGCAUUCACACGAAAGCACAUACCAAUAACAAACUUAGGUGG
Non-coding RNA from Podarcis lilfordi (Lilford's wall lizard), 121 nucleotides. The record is from the annotation of a GenBank genome assembly. NCBI's taxonomy places the organism in Eukaryota, Metazoa, Chordata, Lepidosauria, Squamata, Lacertidae.